GAUGAAGAACGUAGCGAAAUGCGAUAAGUAAUGCGAAUUGCAGAAUUCCAGUGAGUCAUCGAAUCUUUGAACGCACAUUGCGCCCCCUGGUAUUCCGGGGGGCAUGCCUGUUCGAGCGUCAUUUCACCACUCAAGCCUCGCUUGGUAUUGGGCAACGCGGUCCGCCGCGUGCCUCAAAUCGACCGGCUGGGUCUUCUGUCCCCUAAGCGUUGUGGAAACUAUUCGCUAAAGGGUGUUCGGGAGGCUACGCCGUAAAACAACCCCAUUUCUAAGGUUGACCUCGGAUCAGGUAGGGAUACCCGCUGAACUUAAGCAUAUCAAUAAGCGGAGGA
This 332-nucleotide unclassified non-coding RNA is filed under the name soil metagenome. RNAcentral's name for it is "partial contains 5.8S ribosomal RNA, internal transcribed spacer 2, and large subunit ribosomal RNA". The stretch from base 1 to 121 matches the Rfam family "5.8S ribosomal RNA", at positions 35 to 154 of the family's 154-position model. The record is from RNAcentral.